AGAGUUUGAUCCUGGCUCAGGACGAACGCUGGCGGCGUGCUUUAUACAUGCAAGUCGAACGAUGAAGUUCCUUCGGGAAUGGAUUAGUGGCGAACGGGUGAGGAACACGUGAGAAACCUGCCUUUCAUUCUGGGAUAACACCGGGAAACCGGUGCUAAUACCGGAUACUCCAUCUUGGCGGCAUCGCCGAGCUGGGAAAAAAUCUUGAUGAAAGAUGGUCUCGCGGCCUAUCAGCUAGUUGGUGAGGUAAAGGCUCACCAAGGCGACGACGGGUAGCCGGCCUGAGAGGGCGACCGGCCACACUGGGACUGAGACACGGCCCAGACUCCUACGGGAGGCAGCAGUAGGGAAUAUUGGGCAAUGGGCGAAAGCCUGACCCAGCGACGCCGCGUGAGGGAUGAAGGUCUUCGGAUUGUAAACCUCUUUCAGUAGGGAAGAAGCGAAAGUGACGGUACCUAAAGAAGAAGCACCGGCUAACUAUGUGCCAGCAGCCGCGGUAAUACAUAGGGUGCAAGCGUUGUCCGGAAUUAUUGGGCGUAAAGAGCUCGUAGGUCGUUUGUCGCGUCGAUUGUGAAAAUCUGAGGCUCAACCUCAGACCUGCAGUCGAUACGGGCAAACUAGAGUGUGGUAGGGGAGACUGGAAUUCCUGGUGUAGCGGUGGAAUGCGCAGAUAUCAGGAGGAACACCAAUGGCGAAGGCAGGUCUCUGGGCCAUAACUGACACUGNNNAGCGAAAGUGCGGGGAGCGAACAGGAUUAGAUACCCUGGUAGUCCGCACCGUAAACGGUGGGCACUAGUUGUGGGAACCUUCCACGGUUUCCGCGACGCANC
This 830-nucleotide ribosomal RNA is filed under the name uncultured bacterium. RNAcentral's name for it is "bacterial SSU rRNA". It matches the Rfam family "Bacterial small subunit ribosomal RNA", at positions 8 to 852 of the family's 1533-position model. The record is from RNAcentral.